Long non-coding RNA from Gossypium arboreum, 2001 nucleotides. RefSeq lists it as uncharacterized. Lineage: Eukaryota; Viridiplantae; Streptophyta; Magnoliopsida; Malvales; Malvaceae. The record is from RefSeq and is a predicted model, not a curated record. The transcript has 4 exons.
UUGAGGUGGAUUCAAUUCGUUGUGGCCCAAGUCAACAGUUUCACAUGCCUUCAAUCAUUGAUCAGACAUCACAUAGUUCUUCUGCUUAUGAUUCUGACUAUGUGCAUCGUCGAUCAAGUCUUUUAUCUCAGUUGCCUUUUUCGAUAGGUGGUCAUACUAUGAAAUCGACUGUGUCUCUUGUGCUUGCUAGUCCCUCUACAGUUGUCGAUCCGGUUUGAUAUCCAAAUAGUGGUGCCAAUGCUCAUAUGACGAGUAACUCGAUGAAGCUUUUCAAUGCUCGUUUGUAUAAUAGAAGAGAAUUGUUCAUCGUGUCUCAUGUCUAUACACCUCAGAGCAGAAUGGUCUAGUUGAAUGCCGUCAUCGACAGAUUGUUGAAAUAGGACUGGUGUUGUUAGCUCAAGGUUCCUUGCCCAUUUCUUAUUGGGCUGAUGCGUUUGCUACUGUUGUGCACAUCAUGAAUGUUCUUCCAACAAAGGUCUGCCUCUUCUACAUUUCUUAGUUAUGCUUCAAUUACAAAGGAUAUAAAUGUAUUAAUCGGUCUGGACAUGUCUACAUUUCUCACCAAUGUUCGUUUCGAUGAAAAUGUUUUUCCAUUUGCUCAAGUGUCAAUGUCUGUAGCACCUGUCACUGGCAACAGGUCUGGUCAACACACGAGAGAUAUUACUAUCUUGCCAAUGUUUAAGGUUCCUACUGUAGAGAUUUCAGCACAACCAAGAGCUGAUUCUAGUUCAGCUAGUGAUACUAGUACCUUGGGUCCUUCUUCGGAUGGUGUUUUCGGCUCCACUUCAGUAAGUACAGUAGGUACUUUAGGGCCAGUUGUUGAGCAGCAGAGGCCUUCUUCAGUAAAUUAUGACUCCGUGAUGACUAGGAGUAAAAUGGGGAUUUACAAGCCAAAGGCAUAUAUGGUAGUGAUGAGUGAUAUAAAGCCCUCAACUAUUCAUGAGGCAAUGGCGAUUCCUUCUUAGAAACAAGCUGUUAAUGAUGAGCAUCAAGCCUUAAUUCAAAAUCAUACGUGGGAUUUAGUUCCAAUACCGACAAAUCAAUCUUUAGUCGGAUGCAAAUGGUUGUUCAAGAUCAAGAAGAAUUCUGAUGGAAGUGUAGCACAUAAUAAAGUUCACCUAGUUGCUCAAGGAUUCUCCCAAGCAGCUGGACUAGAUUAUCAUGAGAUUUUCAGUCCAGUUGUCAAAGUCAAUACUGUGCGCCUGAUUCUUGCUUUAACUGUGUUACGAAAGUGGAAGCUUUGACAGGUUGACGUGAACAAUGCAUUUUUAAAUGGAGAUCUAGUUGAGGCUAUUUACAUGAAGCAGCCUCUUGGUUUGAAGUGGUUGAUGAUCAUGGGCAGCCCUUGGCAUGUAAGUUGAAUAAUGCCAUAUAUGGUCUUAAACAAGUUCCAAGGGCUUGUUUUGAAAAGUUGAAGUAUUUUUUAGUACAAAAACUAAAUUUUAAGCCUUCAAGGGUUGAUUCUUCAUUGUUUUACAAGCACACGAAUGCUGGAAGUGUUUAUUUCCUUGUCUAUGUUGAUGACAUUAUUGUUACAGGUGGAAAUUGUCCUGAAUUAGAUGUUGUUAUUUACUGUCUUGAUUGUUAGUUUUCUCUUAAAAACUUAAGGGUACUGAGUUUCUUUCUUGGACUUGAGGUGUUGAGACAUCAGGAUCACAUACAUGUGUCUCAGCAAAAGUACGCUCGUGAGUUGCUAGAACGUGCUAACAUGAUGAAUGCCAAGCUUGUGAACACUCCUAUGGUGGCUGAUGUGUUGACCAAACCAUUGACGUUAGGAGCUUUUUCUCGUUGUCGGGAUCAAAUGAGUGUUGUUGCUGCCAGCAAUUUAUGUCUAGAUAUUGGAGACGGAAUAUUAGAGUAACUGUAUUAUUAGGGUCUGUUAAACUCUGUUAGAGUAUUGUUGUAAAUCAGUUGAGGGUGCUGCUGUUAUAUAAUGUAUGACUGCUAUUGUAUAGGAUGACCUUUUGAUGAAUAAAUUUAGUCUUUCAUGACUUUCUAAUA